This 492-nucleotide ribosomal RNA is filed under the name uncultured bacterium. RNAcentral's name for it is "partial 16S ribosomal RNA". It matches the Rfam family "Bacterial small subunit ribosomal RNA", at positions 29 to 507 of the family's 1533-position model. The record is from RNAcentral.
AGUGAACGCUGGCGGUAGGCCUAACACAUGCAAGUCGAACGGCAGCACAGUAAGAGCUUGCUCUUACGGGUGGCGAGUGGCGGACGGGUGAGGAAUACAUCGGAAUCUACUUUUUCGUGGGGGAUAACGUAGGGAAACUUACGCUAAUACCGCAUCCGCCCUACGGGUGAAAGCAGGGGAUCUUCGGACCUUGCGCGAUUGAAUGAGCCGAUGUCGGAUUAGCUAGUUGGCGGGGUAAAGGCCCACCAAGGCGACGAUCCGUAGCUGGUCUGAGAGGAUGAUCAGCCACACUGGAACUGAGACACGGUCCAGACUCCUACGGGAGGCAGCAGUGGGGAAUAUUGGACAAUGGGCGCAAGCCUGAUCCAGCCAUACCGCGUGGGUGAAGAAGGCCUUCGGGUUGUAAAGCCCUUUUGUUGGGAAAGAAAAGCAGCAGGUUAAUACCCCGCUGUUCUGACGGUACCCAAAGAAUAAGCACCGGCUAACUUCGUG